GAGGGGCAGCAUGAUCGAAGCUUGCUUCGAUUGAUGGCGACCGGCGCGCGGGUGCGUAACGCGUAUCAAACCUACCCAAAGCUCAGGGAUAGGCUUGCGAAAGUAAGAUUAAUACCUGAUAUUGUCAGUUAUCGGCAUCGAUGAUUGAUGAAAGAUUUAUCGGCGUUGGAUGGUGAUGCGUAUGAUUAGUUAGUUGGUGAGGUAACGGCUCACCAAGACGACGAUCAUUAGGGGUUCUGAGAGGAAGGUCCCCCACAUUGGAACUGAGACACGGUCCAAACUCCUACGGGAGGCAGCAGUGAGGAAUAUUGGUCAAUGGGCGAGAGCCUGAACCAGCCAAGUAGCGUGCACGAAGACUGCCCUCUGGGUUGUAAAGUGCUUUAGUAUGGGAAUAAGGUGAGGGACGUGUCCCUUUUUGUAUGUACCAUAAGAAUAAGGACCGGCUAAUUCCGUGCCAGCAGCCGCGGUAAUACGGAAGGUCCAGGCGUUAUCCGGAUUUAUUGGGUUUAAAGGGAGCGUAGGCGGAUUAUCAAGUCAGUGGUAAAAUCGUGUGGCCCAACCAUACCUCGCCAUUGAAACUGUUAGUCUUGAGUGCACGCAGGGAUGCUGGGAUUCGUUGUGUAGCGGUGAAAUGCUUAGAUAUGACGAAGAACUCCGAUCGCGAAGGCAGGUGUCUGGAGUGCAACUGACGCUGAGGCUCGAAAGUGCGGGUAUCAAACAGGAUUAGAUACCCUGGUAGUCCGCACAGUAAACGAUGAAUGCUCGCUGUGGGCGAUACACUGUCCGUGGCCACGCGAAAGCAUUAAGCAUUCCACCUGGGGAGUACGCCGGCAACGGUGAAACUCAAAGGAAUUGACGGGGGCCCGCACAAGCGGAGGAACAUGUGGUUUAAUUCGAUGAUACGCGAGGAACCUUACCCGGGCUUGAACUGGACAGGAAGAUGAGCAGAGACGCUCAUCGCCUUCGGGCUUGUUCAGAGGUGCUGCAUGGUUGUCGUCAGCUCGUGCCGUGAGGUGUCGGCUUAAGUGCCAUAACGAGCGCAACCCUUUUCCCUGUUUGCCAUCAGGUUGAGCUGGGCACUCCAGGGAUACUGCCAUCGCAAGAUGUGAGGAAGGUGGGGAUGACGUCAAAUCAGCACGGCCCUUACGUCCGGGGCUACACACGUGUUACAAUGGCCGGUACAGAAGGCAGCUACCUAGCAAUAGGAUGCGAAUCUAUAAAUCCGGUCUCAGUUCGGAUCGGAGUCUGCAACCCGACUCCGUGAAGCUGGAUUCGCUAGUAAUCGCGCAUCAGCCAUGGCGCGGUGAAUACGUUCCCGGGCC
This 1322-nucleotide ribosomal RNA is filed under the name uncultured bacterium. RNAcentral describes it as "bacterial SSU rRNA". It matches the Rfam family "Bacterial small subunit ribosomal RNA", at positions 64 to 1380 of the family's 1533-position model. The record is from RNAcentral.